This 433-nucleotide ribosomal RNA is filed under the name uncultured bacterium. RNAcentral describes it as "partial 16S ribosomal RNA". It matches the Rfam family "Bacterial small subunit ribosomal RNA", at positions 29 to 507 of the family's 1533-position model. The record is from RNAcentral.
AACGAACGCUGGCGGCAUGCCUAACACAUGCAAGUCGAACGAGACCUUCGGGUCUAGUGGCGCACGGGUGCGUAACGCGUGGGAACCUGCCCUUAGGCUCGGAAUAACUCCCCGAAAGGGGUGCUAAUACCGGAUAAUGUCUUCGGACCAAAGAUUUAUCGCCUUUGGAUGGGCCCGCGUUGGAUUAGCUUGUUGGUAGGGUAAAAGCCUACCAAGGCGACGAUCCAUAGCGGGUCUGAGAGGAUGGUCAGCCACUCUGGGACUGAGACACGGCCCAGACUCCUGCGGGAGGCAGCAGUGGGGAAUAUUGGACAAUGGGCGAAAGCCUGAUCCAGCACUGCCGCGUGAGUGAUGAAGGCCUUAGGGUUGUAAAGCUCUUUUACCCGGGAUGAUAAUGACAGUACCGGGAGAAUAAGCUCUGGCUAACUCCGUG